CUAGAAACGAUCGAUCACCUGCUCCUUGGAUGUGUUCACGCUCGAGAAAUAUGGUCCGGCAUUAUGGGCAACUAGGGAAAGCCUCACUAAACUCCGGAGCUGGAGGCCGAGCUCGUUCGAUGGUGGACUUCCCUUAACAUCGAGAAGACCAAGAGGAAGGAAACAUGGACAGUGAUCACUUUUGUGGCUUGGACACUGUGGAAACAUAGGAACGACAUCGUGUUCAACGGAGCUUCCCAUCUGUCAGCACGGUCCUCCGGCAGAUCGAGGCGGAGGGACAGAACUGGAGGGCUGCGGCCCUACUGA
RNAcentral lists this ribosomal RNA (306 nucleotides) under Triticum aestivum (bread wheat). Its description in RNAcentral is "partial small subunit ribosomal RNA". The record is from RNAcentral. Lineage: Eukaryota; Viridiplantae; Streptophyta; Magnoliopsida; Poales; Poaceae.